UUCCGGUUGAUCCUGCCGGAGGCUACCGCUAUUGGAGUUCGAUUAAGCCAUGCGAGUCGCGAGAAAUUAGAUUCUCGGCGUACCGCUCAGUAACACGUGGGUAACCUGCCCUAUGCUGGAUAAUAACCUCGGGAAACUGAGAAUAAUGAUCCAUAGUUCACUACGCCUGGAACGGUGAGUGGAUGAAAGCUCCGGCGGCAUAGGAUGGGCCUGCGGCGUAUCAGGUUGUAGGGGGUGUAACGUACCCUCUAGCCCUCUACGCGUACGGGUGUUGGGAGACAUAGCCCGGAGAUGGAUUCUGAGACACGAAUCCAGACCCUACGGGGUGCAGCAGGCGCGAAAACUUGGCAAUGCGAGAAAUCGUGACCAGGGAACUCCAAGUGCAUCGGGUAAGACCGGUGCUUUUCUUGACUCUAAAUAGGUCUUGGAAUAAGGGGUGGGUAAGGACGGUGCCAGCCGCCGCGGUAAUACCGGCGCCUCAAGUGGUAGUCGCUUUUAUUGGGCCUAAAACGUCCGUAGCCGGUCUGAUACAUUCGUGGGUAAAUCAACCAGCUCAACUGGUUGAAUUCUGCGAGGACGGUCAGACUUGGGACCGGGAGAGGUGUGGGGUACGCUCAGGGUAGGGGUAAAAUCCUGUCAUCCUGAGCGGACCACCUGUUGCGAAGGCGCCACACUAGAACGGAUCCGACGGUCAGGGACGAAGCCUAGGGGCACGAACCGGAUUAGAUACCCGGGUAGUCCUAGGUGUAAACGCUGUGGACUUGAUGUUGGGGGUGCUCCGAGCACUCUCAGUGUCGAAGCGAAGGUGAUAAGUCCACUGCCUGGGAAGUACGGUCGCAAGGCUGAAACUUAAAGGAAUUGGCGGGGGAGCACCGCAACCUGAGGAUUGUGCGGUUUAAUUGGACUCAACGCCGGGA
This 917-nucleotide ribosomal RNA is filed under the name uncultured Candidatus Poseidoniales archaeon. RNAcentral's name for it is "bacterial SSU rRNA". It matches the Rfam family "Archaeal small subunit ribosomal RNA", at positions 1 to 923 of the family's 1478-position model. The record is from RNAcentral. Lineage: Archaea; Methanobacteriati; Thermoplasmatota; Candidatus Poseidoniia; Candidatus Poseidoniales.